RNAcentral lists this ribosomal RNA (152 nucleotides) under uncultured bacterium. RNAcentral's name for it is "partial 16S ribosomal RNA". It matches the Rfam family "Bacterial small subunit ribosomal RNA", at positions 338 to 507 of the family's 1533-position model. The record is from RNAcentral.
CCUACGGGAGGCAGCAGUGGGGAAUCUUGCGCAAUGGGCGAAAGCCUGACGCGGCAACGCCGCGUGCGGGAAGAAGGCUUUCGGGCUGUAAACCGCUUUCAGUAGGAACGAAACUGACGGUACCUACAGAAGAAGGAGCGGCCAACUAUGUG